Molecule: ribosomal RNA, 301 nt
Filed under: uncultured bacterium
Lineage: Bacteria
Description: partial 16S ribosomal RNA
Rfam family: Bacterial small subunit ribosomal RNA
Source: RNAcentral
CAGCAGCCGCGGGAAUACGGAGGGUGCAAGCGUUAAUCGGAAUUACUGGGCGUAAAGCGUGCGCAGGCGGUUUGUUAAGACAGAUGUGAAAUCCCCGGGCUCAACCUGGGAACUGCAUUUGUGACUGGCAAGCUAGAGUCUGGCAGAGGGGGGUGGAAUUCCGCGUGUAGCAGUGAAAUGCGUAGAUAUGCGGAGGAACACCGAUGGCGAAGGCAGCCCCCUGGGCCAACACUGACGCUCAUGCACGAAAGCGUGGGGAGCAAACAGGAUUAGAUACCCCAGUAGUCCCUGUCUCUUAUAC